RNAcentral lists this transfer RNA (69 nucleotides) under Allobates talamancae (Talamanca rocket frog). RNAcentral describes it as "tRNA-Ala". It matches the Rfam family "tRNA". Rfam says of the family: Transfer RNA (tRNA) molecules are approximately 80 nucleotides in length. Their secondary structure includes four short double-helical elements and three loops (D, anti-codon, and T loops). The record is from RNAcentral. Lineage: Eukaryota; Metazoa; Chordata; Amphibia; Anura; Aromobatidae.
AAGGCUUUAUCUUAAUAAAAGUGUUUGAUUUGCAUUCAGAAGAUGAAGGAUAAUAAUCUUCAAGUCUUA